RNAcentral lists this ribosomal RNA (406 nucleotides) under uncultured bacterium. RNAcentral describes it as "partial 16S ribosomal RNA". It matches the Rfam family "Bacterial small subunit ribosomal RNA", at positions 29 to 526 of the family's 1533-position model. The record is from RNAcentral.
AUUGAACGCUGGCGGCAGGCCUAACACAUGCAAGUCGAGCGAGCGGCGGACGGGUGAGUAAUGUCUGGGAAACUGCCUGAUGGAGGGGGAUAACUACUGGAAACGGUAGCUAAUACCGCAUACCAUCAGAGGUGCCCAGAUGGGAUUAGCUAGUAGGUGGGGUAACGGCUCACCUAGGCGACGAUCCCUAGCUGGUCUGAGCGGAUUACAAGCCACACUGGAACUGGGCAACGGUCCGGACUCCUACGGGAGGCAGCAGUGGGUAAUAUGGCACAAUGGGCGCAAGCCUGAGGCAGCCAGGCCGCGUGUGUGAAGAAGGCCUUCGGGUUGGAAAGCACUUUCAGCGGGGAGGCGUUACCCGCAGAAGAAGCACCGGCUAACUCCGUGCCAGCAGCCGCGGUAAUUC